GAAGACACAGCCUCCAACAUUUCUCAGAUGGAAACAUCUUAUUCUACGUCAGGAAACUUCUCCUUGACACUUGGUGACGUUAUCAUUCAAAAUGGACUUUGCAUGGCAGCUUCACCAUUUCCUUCAUUUGGUCCAGGGAUUUUAUUUUCCAUCUAAGCAGGACUCUUUUUUUGCACCUACAUAAACAUACCACAUUUAAUUGUUCUCCGAAACAUUUAGGGGAGGAAAAAAGGGAAAGCGGGACACUCUGGGAUGAAAUCAGAAACCAGGAUGGCACCUGUAAUUUCAGGACUGUCCCUGGAAAACUGGGACACUUGGAGGAUAUGAUGAGGUGCGACAGUCAGUCAUUCUCCUUUCAGGACUUGGGAGCCCUCUCCUGGGGAGAAAUAAAUUUCUAACUCGUACACUAACAUACAUACUAGAUGCAAGCCUCACAGCUCCAUGUUUUGGUUCUUUUUUAUUAUUAUUAUUAUUUUACAAACGUCCACACUUCUGCUUAUCUAAAGAAUCUCCCAAGUACAUACAGGCCAAUACCUUAUUUUUGGAUUGCCCUAUUUCUCCUUCAGGAUGACAGGGCUCACCGCCGCCUGAGUUUGCUACUAUAAAGGGAAAGGUACCCCUGCCUGUACGGGCCAGUCUUGACAGACUCUAGGGUUGUGCGCUCAUCUCACUCUAGAGGCUGGGAGCCAGCGCUGUCCACAGACACUUCCGGGUCACGUGGCCAGCAUGACAAAGCUGCUCCGGCGAACCGGCACCAGCGCAGCACAGAAUGAUAAAUAAAGACACUUCUCCCUUUUAUCAGAGCAAACUCAGUUUCAGGUAUCACCACUCCAAAGAAUCCUACAUCAUACAGGAGAUGUAGAACCAUAUUUUUUUUUUCCUUUACCCUCAGAGUCUACUCCUUUCAGAUAGCUUAAUAAAUUACUUUGAAUCUAAUGGCAUAUUAAUUUGCUGACAAUUCUGUCGACCAUUUUACAUCAAUAAGUGUCAAUCCGUAGUAGUUAAAGGGACUGUUUUACAGGAAGCAACUAUGAGAUCUGAGAAUUUCAGACUUUUGCUUAACUUCAAUGUGUGGUUUUCUAAAUGCCUACGUUGUUUUUAUGCUGCUUUAGUUCUAUCAGAGUUUGAUGACUUUUUAUGUAUUAUCUUUUAUAUAAGUUUUUAGCUUUUUGCAUUUUAUUUGCUUUGUUUUGUUCUGUGGAAGCUGCUUUGAGUUUUUAGCUCUUUGUAUUUUAUUUUAUUUUUUUUGUUUUGUUUUGUUUUGUUUAGUGGAAGCUGCUUUGAGUCCCAGUCUGGGGGAAUGGAAGGAUAUAAAUAUCACUACUAAUACUAAUACUUUAUGGUUUAUUCAUCUGGCAACCUUGUCAACUGCUCCUCCUUUUAGCUUCUGAUCCUUAAAUGCAGAACAGAAUUGGAUGGACUUCCCAUUAUGCAAAUAUGCCAAGCACACUCCUCCUUUUUAAAGAGUGCCAUUCAAUGAUGCUUGAUGACCUGACUGAGACUCAUACACCCUGUUUCUAAUAAACAAAGGACUGAGUGAUUAAGGGGGGGAAAUAUGAGAUCUUUGUCAAUUUUGCUCAUUCUCCUAAGCAUCUCACCUGGUGAGCAUUUAUGCUUAGUGUAAAAACAAAAAUCUUGAAUUCAACCCAAACUGAAGUCGCAUGAGAAGUCUAACAUCUGCCCUUUCUGUUUUGCAGGCAUCCUUUCCAGUCCACAGUUAAUCGAGUCUGGCCCAGGAGUGGUGAAGCCAGGAGAGUCCUUCAAACUGACCUGCACUAUCUCUGGUUUCCAAGUCAGUGAUUAUUACUGGGUCUGGAACCGACAGCCUCCAGGG
Molecule: non-coding RNA, 1834 nt
Organism: Podarcis lilfordi (Lilford's wall lizard)
Lineage: Eukaryota; Metazoa; Chordata; Lepidosauria; Squamata; Lacertidae
Source: the annotation of a GenBank genome assembly